This is a non-coding RNA of Neisseria dentiae, 364 nucleotides long. It matches the Rfam family "transfer-messenger RNA". Rfam says of the family: Bacterial tmRNA, also known as 10Sa RNA or SsrA, is named for its dual tRNA and mRNA-like properties. Its role is to liberate the mRNA from a stalled ribosome. NCBI's taxonomy places the organism in Bacteria, Pseudomonadati, Pseudomonadota, Betaproteobacteria, Neisseriales, Neisseriaceae. The record is from Rfam.
GGGGGCGAUCUUGGUUUCGACGGGGGUUGCGAAGCAGAUGCGGGCAUACCGGGGUCUCAGAUUCCCGUAAAACACUGAACCAAAAUAGUCGCAAACGACGAAACUUACGCUUUAGCCGCUUAAGGCUAGCCGUUGCAGCAGUCGGCCGAUGGGCUGUGUAGGGUAACACCUACGGCAACGUCAUCUUACAUUGGCUGGUUUUCUGUCGGGUUACUUGGCAGGAAAUAAGAUUUAAGGUAACUGGCCUCCAAACAGCCCGUCUGCCGGCGGAAUGGGGGCAAGAUUCCAAGUUGGCAAGACUAAGUAUGUAGAACGCUUUGUAGAGGGCUUUCGGACGGGGGUUCAAUUCCCCCCGCCUCCACCA